UGGGAAUUUUGCACAAUGGGGGAAACCCUGAUGCAGCGACGCCGCGUGAUUUAGAAGGCCUUCGGGUUGUAAAAAUCUUUUGUAUAGGAAGAAAAUGACAGUACUAUACGAAUAAGGUCCGGCUAAUUACGUGCCAGCAGCCGCGGUAAUACGUAAGGACCGAGCGUUGUCCGGAAUCAUUGGGCGUAAAGGGUACGUAGGCGGCUAGAAAAGUUAGAAGUCAAAGGCUAUAGCUCAACUAUAGUAAGCUUCUAAAACUAUUUAGCUUGAGAAAUGGAAGGGAAAGUGGAAUUCCUAGUGUAGCGGUGGAAUGCGCAGAUAUUAGGAAGAAUACCGGUGGCGAAGGCGACUUUCUGGCCAUUAUCUGACGCUGAGGUACGAAAGCGUGGGUAGCAAACAGGAUUAGAUACCCUGGUAGUCCACGCCGUAAACGAUGAGUGUUAGGUGUCUGGAGUCAAAUCUGGGUGCCGCAGCAAACGCAUUAAACACUCCGCCUGGGGAGUACGCACGCAAGUGUGAAACUUAAAGGAAUUGACGGGGUCAUAGCUGUUUCCU
Molecule: ribosomal RNA, 555 nt
Filed under: uncultured bacterium
Lineage: Bacteria
Description: partial 16S ribosomal RNA
Rfam family: Bacterial small subunit ribosomal RNA
Source: RNAcentral